AACGCGAAGAACCUUACCUACUCUUGACAUCCAGAGAAUUCGCUAGAGAUAGCUUAGUGCCUUCGGGAACUCUGAGACAGGUGCUGCAUGGCUGUCGUCAGCUCGUGUUGUGAAAUGUUGGGUUAAGUCCCGCAACGAGCGCAACCCUUAUCCUUUGUUGCCAGCGCGUAAUGGCGGGAACUCAAAGGAGACUGCCGGUGAUAAACCGGAGGAAGGUGGGGAUGACGUCAAGUCAUCAUGGCCCUUACGAGUAGGGCUACACACGUGCUACAAUGGCAUAUACAAAGAGAAGCGAACUCGCGAGAGCAAGCGGACCUCAUAAAGUAUGUCGUAGUCCGGAUUGGAGUCUGCAACUCGACUCCAUGAAGUCGGAAUCGCUAGUAAUCGUAGAUCAGAAUGCUACGGUGAAUACGUUCCCGGGCCUUGUA
RNAcentral lists this ribosomal RNA (428 nucleotides) under uncultured Gammaproteobacteria bacterium. RNAcentral describes it as "bacterial SSU rRNA". It matches the Rfam family "Bacterial small subunit ribosomal RNA", at positions 958 to 1385 of the family's 1533-position model. The record is from RNAcentral. Lineage: Bacteria; Pseudomonadati; Pseudomonadota; Gammaproteobacteria.